Non-coding RNA from Phascolarctos cinereus (koala), 305 nucleotides. Lineage: Eukaryota; Metazoa; Chordata; Mammalia; Diprotodontia; Phascolarctidae. The record is from RefSeq and is a predicted model, not a curated record.
AGCGAGUCCAUGCGGCUGGAGGACAACGCUGAUUGAUUGGGGACUGACCAGGGCGGAGGGAGGAAAUCUGCUCUGGGGAGCAGAUAGAAGGUCAGCCUUGUAAUCAGGAAGAUGUAGAUUCAAGUUCUUGGGACCACGGACAAGUCAUUUAAGCUGAAACAAGAGAAGUGACCUGUAAAAUUGGAGUGGGGGAUAAGAAGGGAAAUGGUGAAUAUGAAGAAUUCAGAAAAACAUAGGAAGACUGAUAUAAGCUGAUGCAGGCAGAACAAAGGAUGUAGAACCAUGAUAAGAUCUAUAAUGACUAU